RNAcentral lists this ribosomal RNA (379 nucleotides) under uncultured eukaryote. RNAcentral's name for it is "partial 18S ribosomal RNA". It matches the Rfam family "Eukaryotic small subunit ribosomal RNA", at positions 592 to 975 of the family's 1831-position model. The record is from RNAcentral.
CAACAGCGUAUAUUAAAGUUGUUGCAGUUAAAACGCUCGUAGUCGGAUUUCGGGGCGGGCGGGCCGGUCUGCCGAUGGGUAUGCACUGGUCUGGCCGUCCUUCCUUCCGGAGACCGUGCGUGCUCUUAACUGAGUGCGCUCGGGAGACGGAUCGUUUACUUUGAAAAAAUCAGAGUGUUUCAAGCAGGCAGCUCGCUCUUGCAUGGAUUAGCAUGGGAUAAUGAAAUAGGACUUUGGUGCUAUUUUGUUGGUUUCGAACACCGAAGUAAUGAUUAACAGGGACAGUCAGGGGCACUCGUAUUCCGCCGAGAGAGGUGAAAUUCUCAGACCAGCGGAAGACGAACCACUGCGAAAGCAUUUGCCAGGGAUGUUUNCACUG